Molecule: long non-coding RNA, 561 nt
Organism: Eptesicus fuscus (big brown bat)
Lineage: Eukaryota; Metazoa; Chordata; Mammalia; Chiroptera; Vespertilionidae
Exons: 4
Source: RefSeq, a predicted model, not a curated record
GGGCGGUUCUCCAACUGCCGCCCAGGCUGCGCGUGGGGCCUGGCAUGGCGGCCUCCGGAGUCCGUUAGGUAAACAGGGAGACUCAGGAUGCUUCUGGCACUGAGAAGCUCAUCUCAGCCUCAUGUUUUCACUGAGAGGAUGUCAUGACCCUCUUUUCGCUAUUCCUUGUUGAUCUGCAAACACACCAGAAGGAAUCACGUGAUCAAUGUAGCCACCAGCUGACCCCACAGCUGCCUCCUGGCUCCCUUAGUUCCACAUGAGAAUUUCUGGGCCUUCCUUCCUUAUGCUUGGAUGUGUCAUUCCACCUUCAGCACUCCCUGCACAGAUGGCUGAGCUACUCCAAUGGUCUGCAAUGUGGUGUGUACAGAGAACCUGGUGCUAUAUUAAGAUGCAUGAGCUGAGCUCAGGAGGAACUGACAGGCUUUGCCAGAGCAUUAAACAGACACCUUCAUGUGCACCUUUGCUAGGGAAGAGAAUACCUGUGCUGGAAAAAAUAGCCUGCCCAACCAAGAAUUGCUUUUACCACAACAAAUUAUUCAACUCUUCUCUUUAAAAAGAAAC